Molecule: ribosomal RNA, 402 nt
Filed under: uncultured bacterium
Lineage: Bacteria
Description: bacterial SSU rRNA
Rfam family: Bacterial small subunit ribosomal RNA
Source: RNAcentral
GUCGGGAAUUUUGGGCAAUGGGCGAAAGCCUGACCCAGCAACGCCGCGUGAGGGAUGAAGUAUUUCGGUAUGUAAACCUCGAAAGAAUGGGAAGAAUAAAUGACGGUACCAUUUAUAAGCUCCGGCUAACUACGUGCCAGCAGCCGCGGUAAUACGUAGGGAGCAAGCGUUGUUCGGAUUUACUGGGCGUAAAGGGCGCGUAGGCGGCGCGGUAAGUCACUUGUGAAAUCUCUGAGCUUAACUCAGAACGGCCAAGUGAUACUGCUGUGCUAGAGUGCGGAAGAGGCAACCGGAAUUCUUGGUGUAGCGGUGAAAUGCGUAGAUAUCAAGAGGAACACCUGAGGCGAAGGCGGGUUGCUGGGCCGACACUGACGCUGAUGCGCGAAAGCCAGGGGAGCAAAC